GAGGACUGAAAAUCCUCGUGUCACUGGUUCGAUUCCGGUUCUGGGCA
RNAcentral lists this transfer RNA (47 nucleotides) under Clostridium sp. CAG:299. It matches the Rfam family "tRNA", at positions 26 to 71 of the family's 71-position model. Rfam says of the family: Transfer RNA (tRNA) molecules are approximately 80 nucleotides in length. Their secondary structure includes four short double-helical elements and three loops (D, anti-codon, and T loops). Lineage: Bacteria; Bacillati; Bacillota; Clostridia; Eubacteriales; Clostridiaceae. The record is from Rfam by way of RNAcentral.